GACGAACGCUGGCGGCGUGCUUAACACAUGCAAGUCGAACGAGAAAGCCCUUCGGGGUAAGUACAGUGGCGAACGGGUGAGUAACACGUGGGCAACCUGCCCCAGAGAGCGGGACAACCCGGGGAAACCCGGGCUAAUACCGCAUGAUGCGUCUCCACUUAAGUGGAGCCGCCAAAUGGUAGCUUCGGCCUCCGCUCUGGGAUGGGCCCGCGCCGGAUUAGCUAGUUGGUUGGGGUAAUGGCCCACCAAGGCGACGAUCCGUAGCUGGUCUGAGAGGACGAUCAGCCACACUGGGACUGAGACACGGCCCAGACUCCUACGGGAGGCAGCAGUGGGGAAUCUUGCGCAAUGGGCGAAAGCCUGACGCAGCAACGCCGCGUGGGGGAAGAAGGCCUUCGGGUUGUAAACCUCUUUCAGUAGGGACGAAGCUUCCGGGGUUAAUAGCCUACGGGGUGACGGUACCUACAGAAGAAGCCCCGGCUAACUACGUGCCAGCAGCCGCAGUAA
Molecule: ribosomal RNA, 507 nt
Filed under: uncultured bacterium
Lineage: Bacteria
Description: partial 16S ribosomal RNA
Rfam family: Bacterial small subunit ribosomal RNA
Source: RNAcentral